AUUGAACGCUGGCGGCAUGCCUUACACAUGCAAGUCGAACGGCAGCACGGGAGCAAUCCUGGUGGCGAGUGGCGAACGGGUGAGUAAAGUAUCGGAACGUGCCCAGUCGUGGGGGAUAACGUAGCGAAAGUUACGCUAAUACCGCAUACGAUCUAUGGAUGAAAGCGUGGGAUCGCAAGACCUCGCGCGAUUGGAGCGGCCGAUAUCAGAUUAGGUAGUUGGUGGGGUAAAGGCUCACCAAGCCGACGAUCUGUAGCUGGUCUGAGAGGACGACCGGCCACACUGGGACUGAGACACGGCCCAGACUCCUACGGGAGGCAGCAGUGGGGAAUUUUGGACAAUGGGCGAAAGCCUGAUCCAGCCAUGCCGCGUGCAGGAUGAAGGCCUUCGGGUUGUAAACUGCUUUUGUACGGAACGAAAAGGUUUGGCCUAAUAAGCUGAGCUCAUGACGGUACCGUAAGAAUAAGCACCGGCUAACUACGUGCCAGCAGCCGCCGUAA
RNAcentral lists this ribosomal RNA (500 nucleotides) under uncultured bacterium. Its description in RNAcentral is "partial 16S ribosomal RNA". It matches the Rfam family "Bacterial small subunit ribosomal RNA", at positions 30 to 523 of the family's 1533-position model. The record is from RNAcentral.